RNAcentral lists this ribosomal RNA (120 nucleotides) under Esox lucius (northern pike). The record is from RNAcentral. Lineage: Eukaryota; Metazoa; Chordata; Actinopteri; Esociformes; Esocidae.
GCUUACGGCCACACCCUCCUGAGCACGCCCGAUCUCGUCUGAUCUCGGAAGCUAAGGCAGGGUCGGGCCCGGUUAGUACUUGGAUGGGAGACCGCCUGGGAAUACCAGGUGCUGUAAGCC